This is a non-coding RNA of Podarcis muralis (Common wall lizard), 110 nucleotides long. Lineage: Eukaryota; Metazoa; Chordata; Lepidosauria; Squamata; Lacertidae. The record is from RefSeq and is a predicted model, not a curated record.
CCCCACAACCUCUGAGCAUUCCCUCCCAGGACCCUUGGAGAAAUCUGACUCCCAAACAGGUGAGGAAGAUGAAAGUCAGAAUUCUAUGGAGUCACAUGUGAAUUUAUGGG